UGUUUGGAGAGUUUGAUUCUGGCUCAGGACGAACGCUGGCGGCGUGCUUAACACAUGCAAGUCGAACGGAAAGGCCCCUUCGGGGGUACUCGAGUGGCGAACGGGUGAGUAACACGUGGGUGAUCUGCCCUGCACUUUGGGAUAAGCCUGGGAAACUGGGUCUAAUACCGAAUAGGACCACGGGAUGCAUGUCCUGUGGUGGAAAGCUUUUGCGGUGUGGGAUGGGCCCGCGGCCUAUCAGCUUGUUGGUGGGGUGACGGCCUACCAAGGCGACGACGGGUAGCCGGCCUGAGAGGGUGUCCGGCCACACUGGGACUGAGAUACGGCCCAGACUCCUACGGGAGGCAGCAGUGGGGAAUAUUGCACAAUGGGCGCAAGCCUGAUGCAGCGACGCCGCGUGGGGGAUGACGGCCUUCGGGUUGUAAACCUCUUUCACCAUCGACGAAGGUCCGGUUUCCGGAUUGACGGUAGGUGGAGAAGAAGCACCGGCCAACUACGUGCCAGCAGCCGCGGUAAUACGUAGGGUGCGAGCGUUGUCCGGAAUUACUGGGCGUAAAGAGCUCGUAGGUGGUUUGUCGCGUUGUUCGUGAAAUCUCACGGCUUAACUGUGAGCGUGCGGGCGAUACGGGCAGACUUGAGUACUGCAGGGGAGACUGGAAUUCCUGGUGUAGCGGUGGAAUGCGCAGAUAUCAGGAGGAACACCGGUGGCGAAGGCGGGUCUCUGGGCAGUAACUGACGCUGAGGAGCGAAAGCGUGGGGAGCGAACAGGAUUAGAUACCCUGGUAGUCCACGCCGUAAACGGUGGGUACUAGGUGUGGGUUUCCUUCCUUGGGAUCCGUGCCGUAGCUAACGCAUUAAGUACCCCGCCUGGGGAGUACGGCCGCAAGGCUAAAACUCAAAGAAAUUGACGGGGGCCCGCACAAGCGGCGGAGCAUGUGGAUUAAUUCGAUGCAACGCGAAGAACCUUACCUGGGUUUGACAUGCACAGGACGCCGGCAGAGAUGUCGGUUCCCUUGUGGCCUGUGUGCAGGUGGUGCAUGGCUGUCGUCAGCUCGUGUCGUGAGAUGUUGGGUUAAGUCCCGCAACGAGCGCAACCCUUGUCUCAUGUUGCCAGCGGGUAAUGCCGGGGACUCGUGAGAGACUGCCGGGGUCAACUCGGAGGAAGGUGGGGAUGACGUCAAGUCAUCAUGCCCCUUAUGUCCAGGGCUUCACACAUGCUACAAUGGCCGGUACAAAGGGCUGCGAUGCCGCGAGGUUAAGCGAAUCCUUUUAAAGCCGGUCUCAGUUCGGAUCGGGGUCUGCAACUCGACCCCGUGAAGUCGGAGUCGCUAGUAAUCGCAGAUCAGCAACGCUGCGGUGAAUACGUUCCCGGGCCUUGUACACACCGCCCGUCACGUCAUGAAAGUCGGUAACACCCGAAGCCAGUGGCCUAACCCUUUGGGAGGGAGCUGUCGAAGGUGGGAUCGGCGAUUGGGACGAAGUCGUAACAAGGUAGCCGUACCGGAAGGUGCGGCUGGAUCACCUCCUUU
Molecule: ribosomal RNA, 1529 nt
Organism: Mycobacterium asiaticum
Lineage: Bacteria; Bacillati; Actinomycetota; Actinomycetes; Mycobacteriales; Mycobacteriaceae
Rfam family: Bacterial small subunit ribosomal RNA
Source: Rfam